RNAcentral lists this ribosomal RNA (490 nucleotides) under uncultured bacterium. RNAcentral describes it as "partial 16S ribosomal RNA". It matches the Rfam family "Bacterial small subunit ribosomal RNA", at positions 31 to 507 of the family's 1533-position model. The record is from RNAcentral.
AGGGAACGCGGGCGGCAGGCUUAACACAUGCAAGUCGAGCGGUAGCACAGGGGAGCUUGCUCCCUGGGUGACGAGCGGCGGACGGGUGAGUAAUGUCUGGGAAACUGCCUGAUGGAGGGGGAUAACUACUGGAAACGGUAGCUAAUACCGCAUAACGUCGCAAGACCAAAGAGGGGGACCUUCGGGCCUCUUGCCAUCAGAUGUGCCCAGAUGGGAUUAGCUAGUAGGUGGGGUAAUGGCUCACCUAGGCGACGAUCCCUAGCUGGUCUGAGAGGAUGACCAGCCACACUGGAACUGAGACACGGUUCAGACUCCUACGGGAGGCAGCAGUGGGGAAUAUUGCACAAUGGGCGCAAGCCUGAUGCAGCCAUGCCGCGUGUGUGAAGAAGGCCUUCGGGUUGUAAAGCACUUUCAGCGAGGAGGAAGGUGGUGAGCUUAAUACGUUCAUCAAUUGACGUUACUCGCAGAAGAAGCACCGGCUAACUCCGUG